GCAAAACCUAAUGUGAUUUAUUGCGCGACGAUUUUAUUGAAAAAGAUCGUGCUCGUGGUAUCUUUUUCACUCAGGACUGGGUAUCCAUGCCGGGUGUUAUACCAGUAGCUUCAGGUGGUAUUCAUGUUUGGCAUAUGCCAACUCUGACCGAAAUCUUUGGGGAUGAUUUUGUAUUACAAUU
Long non-coding RNA from Brachypodium distachyon (stiff brome), 181 nucleotides. RefSeq lists it as uncharacterized. The transcript has 3 exons. NCBI's taxonomy places the organism in Eukaryota, Viridiplantae, Streptophyta, Magnoliopsida, Poales, Poaceae. The record is from RefSeq and is a predicted model, not a curated record.